This 485-nucleotide ribosomal RNA is filed under the name uncultured bacterium. RNAcentral's name for it is "partial 16S ribosomal RNA". It matches the Rfam family "Bacterial small subunit ribosomal RNA", at positions 29 to 523 of the family's 1533-position model. The record is from RNAcentral.
AGUGAACGCUGGCGGCGUGCUUAACACAUGCAAGUCGAACGAGAACGGAAUAUAGCUUGCUAUAUUUGUCAGCUAAGUGGCGCAUGGGUGAGUAAUGUAUAGAUAACCUGCCCUUAAGAAAGGAAUAACAGUUGGAAACGACUGCUAAUGCCCUAUAUGCCUUUAAUACAUAAGUAUGCAAGGGAAACGCUUUAGUGCUUAAGGAUGGGACUGUAUGGUAUCAGCUUGUUGGUGAGGUAAUGGCUCACCAAGGCUAUGACGCCUGACUGGUUUGAGAGGAUGAUCAGUCACACUGGAACUGAGACACGGUCCAGACUCCUACGGGAGGCAGCAGUGGGGAAUAUUGCACAAUGGGCGAAAGUCUGAUGCAGCAACGCCGCGUGGAGGAUGACACAUUUCGGUGCGUAAACUCCUUUUAUAUAGGAAGAUAAUGACGGUACUAUAUGAAUAAGCACCGGCUAACUCCGUGCCAGCCGCCGCCGUAA